Sarcophilus harrisii (Tasmanian devil) is the source of this 58-nucleotide non-coding RNA. The record is from Rfam. NCBI's taxonomy places the organism in Eukaryota, Metazoa, Chordata, Mammalia, Dasyuromorphia, Dasyuridae.
CAAAAGGCUUUACUAAAUACCUUACUGAAAGCCACAUACACUAUAUUCAAAGCAUUGU